AGCCCUGGGUGUGGCCCUAAAGAGUAAAAUAAAAUAAAAAAUAAAAUGUAGGGAGUUCUCUGAUGGCCUAGCAGGUUGAGGCGCCUGCGUUCUCACCACUGUGGCUCUGGUUGCUGCUAUGUGGCGUAGAUUCAAUCCCUGGCCCAGGAAUUCCCACAUACUGCCUGUGUGGCAAAAAAGAAAAAAGAAUACAAAAAAAAAAAAAAAAAGAGAGAGAGAGAAAACCUGAAAAAAACAUUGCACCUCUCAUUAAAAAAAUUAAAAAAUAAAUAAAUAAAUAAAAAUAAAAUGUAUCAGUUUAGUAGGUAUUUGUAAAGCAUCAUAUAGUGUGAGAACUGUGCUUGGCACUAGGUAUACAGUGUUAAAUAGUGCUCCUUUAUGAAUGCUUUAUUUGCAUCGUCGUUGUUUGAUUUUAACCAUAGAAAAUGUGAGGUAGGUAAAAACAGAAGAGGAAGACAUCAUUGCCCAGAGAGGUUAAUUGACUGGCUGAGGUCACGCAGCUUGUACAUGGUGGUAGGAUUGGAACCCAACAGUCCACAACGAAAACCUGAAUUUUAACCAUGACAUCAUAGUGUCUGUGCUUUACUGGCGUAGAGGAGCUCUACCCUCAGAAAGCUCAGAGUCCAGUAGAGAAAGGAUGAAAUUAAGCAAACAUAAAGACAACACACUGUGCUAAGGGCUAAGAAGGAAAUAAACAGGAUGAACUGAAAGAGAUAGUCUGGAGGAGCUAGUAAGUGACAGGGGUAAAUCUGGGAGGGCCUCUCUGAGGGGGUGUCAUUUAAGCUAAGGUCUAGACAUGCAUUGCUCUUGGGCAAGUGACAGGUGGGGAGCAGAGGGCUUCAGCAGAGGGGACGUCAUGGUGGGAAAAAUUGAUAACCGGGGGCUCAUAGAGAAGAGCUGAUCAAAACAAGCAACCCAGUUUAUUGGUGAAGAAUACUUGGAGCUUCACAUCCAUCCACAAUCAGUUAGGAUCAGAAAAAAGAUUCUGCAGCUGCCUCUGUGCCUUUAGUGUUUUCUCUAUUUUAUUACAUACAUUCAGUUUUAUAAACAUGAAAGAGAUCCAGCCUUUUCAUGAAUGCCUAUAACUGACCACAUUUCACCAUCCCCUUCCCGCUCUCUCAUGUGGGAAAACAGAAGGAAGGAGAAGGUUUGAAGUUCUGCCUCCAAAUAUUUCCUUAGUGGGCUUUUAUGGGGCUUGGCUCCUUAGAACCUGACAUGUGUUCAUAAAACAUGAUGUUCCUCUGCCUUUAUAUACAUUCUUUUUCUUUAAAAAAAAAAAAAAAAA
This 1285-nucleotide long non-coding RNA is filed under the name Sus scrofa (pig). Its description in RNAcentral is "lncRNA (ENSSSCG00015061608.1)". The record is from RNAcentral. Lineage: Eukaryota; Metazoa; Chordata; Mammalia; Artiodactyla; Suidae.